This 237-nucleotide ribosomal RNA is filed under the name uncultured bacterium. RNAcentral's name for it is "partial 16S ribosomal RNA". It matches the Rfam family "Bacterial small subunit ribosomal RNA", at positions 1145 to 1382 of the family's 1533-position model. The record is from RNAcentral.
AAGACUGCCUCGGAUAACGGGGAAGAAGGUGGGGAUGACGUCAAGUCCGCAUGCUCCUUACGUCUAGGGCUACACACGUCCUACAAUGGGGUCGACAAUGGGAUGCAAUAUCGCAAGAUGGAGCCAAUCCCCAAACGGCCUCUCAGUUCGGAUUGUAGUCUGCAACUCGACUACAUGAAGUUGGAAUCGCUAGUAAUGGCAGAUCAGCAUGCUGCCGUGAAUACGUUCCCGGGUCUU